AGCAGGGUAGCUCAGUGGAAAGAGCCCGGGCUUGGGAGUCAGAGGUCAUGGGUUCAAAUCCCGACUCUGCCC
This 72-nucleotide transfer RNA is filed under the name Ornithorhynchus anatinus (platypus). It matches the Rfam family "tRNA". Rfam says of the family: Transfer RNA (tRNA) molecules are approximately 80 nucleotides in length. Their secondary structure includes four short double-helical elements and three loops (D, anti-codon, and T loops). Further hydrogen bonds mediate the characteristic L-shaped molecular structure. tRNAs have two regions of fundamental functional importance: the anti-codon, which is responsible for specific mRNA codon recognition, and the 3' end, to which the tRNAs corresponding amino acid is attached (by aminoacyl-tRNA synthetases). tRNAs cope with the degeneracy of the genetic code in two manners: having more than one tRNA (with a specific anti-codon) for a particular amino acid; and 'wobble' base-pairing, i.e. permitting non-standard base-pairing at the 3rd anti-codon position. The record is from Rfam by way of RNAcentral. Lineage: Eukaryota; Metazoa; Chordata; Mammalia; Monotremata; Ornithorhynchidae.